GUUGCCAACAAUCAUGUCACAGUUCUUCGAAUAGUGGUCCAGGAUGUCGAACAGUUCCAGGGCUGUCAGUCUCCCAGAGAAGAUACUCCUCAUCUUGGACUGGAGAAAGUCAUCCGAUGUGCUGCUGUUAAAGAUCCCUGGGUAGCGCUUAAGUCUAUAGUGAUUAGAUGGAGGAAUCUCUCUGCCCUCAGAGAGGAGAAACACUGUCUGGUGACCUUGGUCAUGCAAGGCUGAGGCCAGAGUCUUGAAAAUAUAAAGAUGGCUUUCAAACAUAAUUGGCGGCACAACAACAAUUUUGGCAGCCCUCGCUAUCCCAACAGCGCUCCACAGGAGGAUGAAAACUGAAGUGUACGGCUUCAUAGCGCUGUCUCCUCGGGGGCCGUUUCUCCGCGUUGCUGCCUCUGG
This 405-nucleotide long non-coding RNA is filed under the name Gallus gallus (chicken). Lineage: Eukaryota; Metazoa; Chordata; Aves; Galliformes; Phasianidae. The record is from RNAcentral.